This 68-nucleotide transfer RNA is filed under the name Pseudomyrmex elongatus. RNAcentral's name for it is "tRNA-Arg". The record is from RNAcentral. Lineage: Eukaryota; Metazoa; Arthropoda; Insecta; Hymenoptera; Formicidae.
UCUUGCAAAGUAAAAUAAUACAUUUAGUUUCGACCUAAAAAAUUGGUUAUAUUAAUAACCUGCAAGAC